GCGUGCCUACGGGGCGCAGCAGUGAGGAAUAUUGGUCAAUGGUCGGGAGACUGAACCAGCCACGCCGCGUGAGAGAGGAAGGUACAGAGUAUCGUAAACCUCUUUUGUCAGGGAACAAAGACUGGGACGCGUCCCCGGAUGAGUGUACCUGAAGAAAAAGCAUCGGCUAACUCCGUGCCAGCAGCCGCGGUAAUACGGAGAAUGCGAGCGUUAUCCGGAUUUAUUGGGUUUAAAGGGUGCGCAGGCGGUCUGUUAAGUCAGCGGUCAAAGCCCGGGGCUCAACCCCGGCCCGCCGUUGAAACUGG
RNAcentral lists this ribosomal RNA (305 nucleotides) under uncultured bacterium. Its description in RNAcentral is "bacterial SSU rRNA". It matches the Rfam family "Bacterial small subunit ribosomal RNA", at positions 333 to 636 of the family's 1533-position model. The record is from RNAcentral.